This 77-nucleotide transfer RNA is filed under the name Salmonella sp. FORC89. Its description in RNAcentral is "tRNA-Ile". Lineage: Bacteria; Pseudomonadati; Pseudomonadota; Gammaproteobacteria; Enterobacterales; Enterobacteriaceae. The record is from RNAcentral.
UCACCUUUGAUGAUGGCCUUAAAUCGGUGAGUCGCUAUGCGUAUCCGGUAUUAAAGCAGUACGAUAUGAAAGCGACG